This 388-nucleotide ribosomal RNA is filed under the name uncultured bacterium. Its description in RNAcentral is "bacterial SSU rRNA". It matches the Rfam family "Archaeal small subunit ribosomal RNA", at positions 339 to 727 of the family's 1478-position model. The record is from RNAcentral.
GGUUGAAUUCUCUGCAAUGCGCGAAAGCGUGACAGGGGGAUUCCAAGUGCUUAUGAUUUAUCAUAGGCUUUUGCAAAGUGUAGAUAGCUUGGCGAAUAAGGGGUGGGCAAGACCGGUGGCAGCAGCCGCGGUAAUACCGGCGCCCCAAGUGGUGGUCGCUUUUAUUGGGCCUAAAGCGUCCGUAGCUGGCUUUACGGGUCUUUGGUGAAAUCCAUGCGCUUAACGUAUGGGCGUGCCAGAGAAACUUUGAAGCUUGAGACCGGGAGAAGUAAGGAGUAUUGUUGGGGUAAGGGUAAAAUCUUAUAAUCCCAACAGGACUACCUGUGGCGAAGGCGCCUUACUAGAACGGGUCUGACAGUGAGGGACGAAAGCUGAGGGAGCAAACGGG